RNAcentral lists this long non-coding RNA (293 nucleotides) under Lathyrus oleraceus (garden pea). Its description in RNAcentral is "Pisum sativum (pea) long non-coding RNA (PSAT_LNC017218)". The record is from RNAcentral. Lineage: Eukaryota; Viridiplantae; Streptophyta; Magnoliopsida; Fabales; Fabaceae.
GAGAGAGAGCUAAAGGGUUUAUUUUCCUCUAGUAUUCCUCGUCCUUCUAGUUCUUGGAAGAAUAUCGUCGAUCAACUUAUCAUCGAGAAAGCUUGGAUGAAGACCACUUAUGAGUCAGAGAUCGAACAUAUCCGAAGGAAGUACACGCCUUUGGCUAGUUCAGCUGAUUCAGUUGCUAGGGAUCCUUAGGAUGAUACUUUCCUUUUCUUUUGUAUUUGUAUUUUUGGUUUCUGAAAUUAUACUCAGUGUAAUCCUUCCAAAAUUUUAUGAAUGAAAAAAAGAUUUUAUGGUCA